AAGGCCACUCCGGGCCUUUCCAGGCCCUCCAAACAGCCGAAAACCGGACAGUUCCCCUCUUCCUUUCUUCCCCACUUUGUGAACAAACCUUUACCAGCUGUAGUCUUCACCUUUAGUAUCUCCAUCACUGUUGGAAUUCUUUUUAUUCUGAUGUGUUUAUACAGAUAUAAUAAUUUUCUGUAAUUCCACAUUUAUAACAUUCCUAUUACAAUGUGCUCCCAUUAGUUCUUAGUUCCCACUAUUGAUGCUGUUUUAUUUAAUAUUGGGAGUUUUCUAAUUGUUUUCUGUUAUAACACAGCAAUUAUUUUAUUUCCUGAAAAGAAUCCUGUUUGCCAUAUGUAUUUGUGUAUAUAAUAUGUGUGAUUUCAGAUUAUCUGUUCUUAUAUUCUUGUCAACUGAUAUAUUGCUGUCUGAAUUCUCAAAUGUUAAUUUUAAGAGGUAUCUUUUAAAUAGUAUCUAAAAUCUUAGUUAAAAAAAUAAAAGGACUGUCUGUCCCUGUAAGAUUUGAAAAGCAACACCGAAGUAUUUUUGGAAUAACAGACUAUUGUACUCAGCUUCAUUCCUGUCUCUGCAUUGUCUGCCUGUUGCCUUUUACUUUCAAAGCUGCUGGUACAGGUAAACACUUCAAAGAUUGAGGAAGAGGAUUCACUUGAGCUCCCCUCAAAGCACUUUAGAGAGGAAGUACAACUGACUCAUCAAUGAAAUUGUCUAUACAGCAAAUGCUGGUGGGAGCCGUAACUCUUAGUAUAAGGACUCUGUUGUAGGCUGGAGGAAGAGGAAGACUGCAAUAAAGAGAAUAACUGGUGCUCUCCCCACUUUCCUGGUUGCACAGUGGGACUUUUCCCGCUGCUGCUGGUGCCCAGAUGGUCUCCUUGCGGGAGGAGCGGCCUCA
Molecule: non-coding RNA, 892 nt
Organism: Zonotrichia albicollis (white-throated sparrow)
Lineage: Eukaryota; Metazoa; Chordata; Aves; Passeriformes; Passerellidae
Source: RefSeq, a predicted model, not a curated record